This 785-nucleotide ribosomal RNA is filed under the name uncultured Glomus. RNAcentral's name for it is "SSU rRNA". It matches the Rfam family "Eukaryotic small subunit ribosomal RNA", at positions 325 to 1111 of the family's 1831-position model. Lineage: Eukaryota; Fungi; Glomeromycota; Glomeromycetes; Glomerales; Glomeraceae. The record is from RNAcentral.
AUGGUAGGAUAGAGGCCUACCAUGGUGGUAACAGGUAACGGGGUGUUAGGGCACGACACCGGAGAGGGAGCCUGAGAAACGGCUACCACAUCCAAGGAUGGCAGCAGGCGCGCAAAUUACCCAAUCCCGACACGGGGAGGUAGUGACAAUAAAUAACAAUACGGGGUUCUUUAGGAUCUCGUAAUUGGAAUGAGUACAAUUUAAAUCUCUUAACGAGGAACAAUUGGAGGGCAAGUCUGGUGCCAGCAGCCGCGGUAAUUCCAGCUCCAAUAGCGUAUAUNAAAGUUGUUGCAGUUAAAAAGCUCGUAGUUGAAUUUCGGGGUCAGUAGGUCGGUCGUGCCACUGGUAUGAACUGGUUUUACUGAUUCCUCCCUCUUGAAGAACUGUAAUGCCAUUAAUUUGGUGUUGCAGGGAAUCAGGACUGUUACUUUGAAAAAAUUAGAGUGUUUAAAGCAGGCUUUAGCUUGAAUACAUUAGCAUGGAAUAAUGAAAUAGGACGUUUGAUCCUAUUUUGUUGGUUUCUAGGAUUGACGUAAUGAUUAAUAGGGAUAGUUGGGGGCAUUAGUAUUCAAUUGUCAGAGGUGAAAUUCUUGGAUUUAUUGAAGACUAACUACUGCGAAAGCAUUUGCCAAGGAUGUUUUCAUUAAUCAAGAACGAAAGUUAGGGGAUCGAAGACGAUCAGAUACCGUCGUAGUCUUAACCAUAAACUAUGCCGACUAGGGAUCGGAUGAUGUUAAUUUUUUAAUGACUCAUUCGGCGCCUUACGGGAAACCAAAGUGUUUGGG